UCCCAGCAGGGCAUUUCGGCCUCCCGUGUCCACACAGUGAGUGUGCGGUGAUGACCACACCUGUCUACACGGCUGUGGGCCCCCUGCACACGUGCCCUGGACUGAUUGCCCACAAACCGACCCACAGCUGCAGAGUCCGGCCCACUGGUCCACUUUGCCUGCUGGCAGCGUCUUGGAAUAGUGGACCCCUUUGCCACUGUUAGCUAAACGGCGCGGCCCACCCCUGAUGGGGGUCUCCAGGCUUCUUUCCGUCGGGCCCAGCACCCACCAGGGCCCCACAUCACGCCCUGCCCCGUCUCCCAGGCUCCUGUUGGCCUCGGGUUGCCCAGGCUGGCCUUGUUUUCGGGAGGGCAGAUCCGGUGCUUGGCUGGUGUGCGUGUCACAAGGUUAGAACGCUGUCACGUGGUACAAGGGGACUUCCUUCACAGCAUGAGCCAGCACUGUUGCAGAUGACCUUGGCUGCCUGCUAAGGUCAUGCUGGUCAGUGCUCACCACUGUGGAUUUGCUUCUUUGUUCCCCCUGGCUUCAGAAGAAAGGCAUCGUGGGUAGUCUGCACUUGAGGGAAACCUCAAGAGCCGUGUGGGUCGUGGCACCCCUGUCCUGUCAUUUAUUCAUCCUUGCAUAACAUUUGAUUGAACAACUCCUAUAAACUGGGCGUGGUUCUGUACAGCAACAACACAGCAGUGCACAAAACAGGGUCUUACUAUGCCAUUCAGGCUGGCCUUGAACUCACAGCAAUUCUGCCUCAGCCUCCUGAGUGCCGUGAUUACAGACAUGCGCCACCACGCCUGGCUGCUCUGGUCCAGCUUUUGAGGUACUCUGCAACCCUCCACAGAGAGAGGCUGACCUGCCGUAAACUGCUAGUCUCCGACCACUUCCCUCGAAACCUCAGAAGAUCUGCUCUCUGAAAAGUCACCCAGCCCCCCAAACCAAACAGGAAGCCCUGAGGGUCACAAGGCAGCGCGGCAAAUUCCCCUCAGCGAUAGGUUGAGCAGUGCCCCAGAACCCAAGGUGAAUUCCUGGCACUGGGACGAAGCCUGCUUGGCACACAAGCUGUAGGUGUGACCGACUGAGAGUCUCACAGUGAGCCUGGCCUGCCUUGUCCAGGCGGGCUCGACAGCCAAAGUGGUCUUUGUUUUGUUAGGUUUUGUUUUUUUGAGACAGGGUCUUGCUCAGCAGUCCAGGCUGGCCUCAGACUCACUACAUAGCCCAGGCUGGCCUCAGACUUGUGGCGACUCUCCUGCCUCAGCCUCCCCAGUGCUGGGACGGCAGACACGCGUCACCCCACCCAGUGUCAGCCUCUCUGUGAAGUGGUCCGUCCUACAUUUGUGUGUCUCACAGGCUGCAGAUGCUGCCUGCUGGACUCAGCUAUCUGAAUGCACAAGGGUCCCUGGGGUCAGAGAGACCAUUUUCACUGCCUUGUACCAGCCUGGUGGAGACAGACAGACAGACAGACAAAU
Molecule: long non-coding RNA, 1460 nt
Organism: Cavia porcellus (domestic guinea pig)
Lineage: Eukaryota; Metazoa; Chordata; Mammalia; Rodentia; Caviidae
Exons: 3
Source: RefSeq, a predicted model, not a curated record